RNAcentral lists this ribosomal RNA (459 nucleotides) under uncultured bacterium. Its description in RNAcentral is "partial 16S ribosomal RNA". It matches the Rfam family "Bacterial small subunit ribosomal RNA", at positions 338 to 795 of the family's 1533-position model. The record is from RNAcentral.
CCUACGGGAGGCAGCAGUGAGGAAUAUUGGUCAAUGGCCGGAAGGCUGAACCAGCCAAGCCGCGUGAAGGACGAAGGUGCCAAGCAUUUUAAACUUCUUUUGUCAAGGGACAAAAUCAGGCGCGAGAGCCUGACCGAGGGUACUUGAAGAAAAAGUAGCGGCUAACGCCGUGCCAGCAGCGGCGGAAAUACGGAGGAUGCGAGCGUUAUCGGGAUGUAUUGGGGUAAAAGGGUGCGUAGGCGGGCUGUUAAGUCAGCGGUAAAAGCCCGGGGCUCAACCCCGGCGAGCCGUUGAAACUGGCUGUCUUGAGAUGUCGAGAGGUAUGCGGAAUGCGCAGUGUAGCGGUGAAAUGCUUAGAGAUUGCGAAGAACUCCGAUUGCGAAGGCAGCAUACCGGAGGCGAUCUGACGCUGAGGCACGAAAGCGUGGGUAUCGAACAGGAUUAGAUACCCCAGUAGUC